CCUACGGGUGACAGCAGUGGGGAAUAUUGCACAAUGGGGGAAACCCUGAUGCAGCGACGCCGCGUGAGCGAUGAAGUAUUUCGGUAUGUAAAGCUCUAUCAGCAGGGAAGAAAAUGACGGUACCUGACUAAUAAGCCCCGGCUAACUACGUGCCAGCAGCCGCCGUAAUACGGAGGGGGCAAGCGUUAUCCGGAUUUACUGGGUGUAAAGGGAGCGUAGACGGCGGUGCAAGCCAGAUGUGAAAGCCCGGGGCUCAACCCUGGGACUGCUUUGGAAACUGUAAAACUGGAGUGCAGGAGAGGUAAGUGGAAUUCCUAGUGUAGCGGUGAAAUGCGUAGAUAUUAGGAGGAACACCAGUGGCGAAGGCGGCUUACUGGACUGUAACUGACGUUGAGGCUCGAAGGCGUGGGGAGCAAACAGGAUUAGAUACCCUGGUAGUC
This 440-nucleotide ribosomal RNA is filed under the name uncultured bacterium. RNAcentral describes it as "partial 16S ribosomal RNA". It matches the Rfam family "Bacterial small subunit ribosomal RNA", at positions 338 to 795 of the family's 1533-position model. The record is from RNAcentral.